Molecule: ribosomal RNA, 1000 nt
Filed under: uncultured organism
Description: bacterial SSU rRNA
Rfam family: Bacterial small subunit ribosomal RNA
Source: RNAcentral
GGGGGAUAUUGCGCAAUGGGGGCAACCCUGACGCAGCAACGCCGCGUGAAGGAUGAAGGUUUUCGGAUUGUAAACUUCUUUUAUUAAGGACGAAACUUGACGGUACUUAAUGAAUAGGCUCCGGCUAACUACGUGCCAGCAGCCGCGGUAAUACGUAGGGAGCAAGCGUUGUCCGGAUUUACUGGGUGUAAAGGGUGCGUAGGCGGCUUUGCAAGUCAGAUGUGAAAUCUAUGGGCUCAACCCAUAAACUGCAUUUGAAACUGUAGAGCUUGAGUGAAGUAGAGGCAGGCGGAAUUCCCCGUGUAGCGGUGAAAUGCGUAGAGAUGGGGAGGAACACCAGUGGCGAAGGCGGCCUGCUGGGCUUUAACUGACGCUGAGGCACGAAAGCGUGGGUAGCAAACAGGAUUAGAUACCCUGGUAGUCCACGCUGUAAACGAUGAUUACUAGGUGUGGGGGGUCUGACCCCUUCCGUGCCGGAGUUAACACAAUAAGUAAUCCACCUGGGGAGUACGGCCGCAAGGUUGAAACUCAAAGGAAUUGACGGGGGCCCGCACAAGCAGUGGAGUAUGUGGUUUAAUUCGAAGCAACGCGAAGAACCUUACCAGGUCUUGACAUCCAACUAACGAAGUAGAGAUACAUUAGGUGCCCUUCGGGGAAAGUUGAGACAGGUGGUGCAUGGUUGUCGUCAGCUCGUGUCGUGAGAUGUUGGGUUAAGUCCCGCAACGAGCGCAACCCUUGCUAUUAGUUGCUACGCAAGAGCACUCUAAUAGGACUGCCGUUGACAAAACGGAGGAAGGUGGGGACGACGUCAAAUCAUCAUGCCCCUUAUGACCUGGGCUACACACGUACUACAAUGGAUGUUAACAGAGGGAAGCAAGACAGCGAUGUGGAGCAAACCCCUAAAAACAUUCUCAGUUCAGAUUGCAGGCUGCAACCCGCCUGCAUGAAGAUGGAAUUGCUAGUAAUCGCGGAUCAGCAUGCCGCGGUGAAUACGUUCCCG